GGUCGGUCGACGUGGGCGCCCCGCGGUCCCGGCGCGGUCCUGGGCGAGGGCGAGAUCGUCCCGUGGUUCCAGCCCAUCGUCGAUCUC
Molecule: transfer RNA, 87 nt
Filed under: Rhodococcoides kroppenstedtii
Lineage: Bacteria; Bacillati; Actinomycetota; Actinomycetes; Mycobacteriales; Nocardiaceae
Description: tRNA-Gly
Source: RNAcentral